CACCGGAAUGGAAGUGGUGAAGGACAUGACAAUCAUCGAAAUCGCAGUGAUGAUAUAGAAAAUGGUGACCGUAUACUUGCCGAACCAUUUAGCGAUUUUUUC
RNAcentral lists this ribosomal RNA (102 nucleotides) under Lacticaseibacillus paracasei. The record is from RNAcentral. Lineage: Bacteria; Bacillati; Bacillota; Bacilli; Lactobacillales; Lactobacillaceae.